AAUAGAUGACGCUAUUGAUUUUUUCUCACAUGUUUGACCAUUCGUCUUAUUCAAAAAAUUUACGCAAUUAUAAUUUAUUUUGUUAUGAGUUGUUUUAUCACUCAUAGUACUUUAAGUGUGAUUUAUAUCUUAUACAUUUGCAUAAAAUUUUUGAAUAAGACGAAUGAUCAAAUAUAUGAGAAAAAAAUCAACGACGUCAUCUAUU
RNAcentral lists this microRNA precursor (205 nucleotides) under Oryza glumipatula. RNAcentral describes it as "MIR812 microRNA precursor family". It matches the Rfam family "MIR812 microRNA precursor family". The record is from Rfam by way of RNAcentral. Lineage: Eukaryota; Viridiplantae; Streptophyta; Magnoliopsida; Poales; Poaceae.